Sapajus apella (tufted capuchin) is the source of this 1259-nucleotide long non-coding RNA. RefSeq lists it as uncharacterized. The record is from RefSeq and is a predicted model, not a curated record. The transcript is spliced from 3 exons. NCBI's taxonomy places the organism in Eukaryota, Metazoa, Chordata, Mammalia, Primates, Cebidae.
UGAAAGUGUGUGAUUUUUUUCUUUUCAAUGUGAGGGUUUUUAAAGCUUGAAUUUGAAGGACCAUCCAGUUUUAUUAAAAUCGAGAGCCACUUGAAACCAGGGGAUGUGUCCUGUCCUGCAUAUUUAUGUGCAGUGUGCAGAGUUCUGUCCUGAGGAGGAAAGGAGAGGUGGACAGAAAGGGAGGGCACAGGCAGCAAGUUUAGCCGGAGCUACCAGAACUGCUACCUACACAAAAAACUGCUUUCACUUGCCACCGCUCCCCAGGCAAUACACAGGAUACAAAAUGCAUGCUGAAGAAUUUGUGAAGUAAUAAGAUGUCCAGUAUUUGCUUCUAAAUAAUCUAUUGGGCAGAGACAGAGGCAGGCAGCACGUGAGUAAAGUGAGAGGAAGUGGAAGAGAACAAUGACGGGAAUGGAGGAAUGAAGAGGUGAGUCCCAACAUGGGAGAAAGAAAAGAAUGGACCUUGAAGCUUUUGCUGGUGGAUGAAGAAGAAAAACUCUGUACCCAGCACAUGUUUGGCCACGUGACACGAGCAAAGAUCAAGGAAUUUAACCUUUGAUAUGAGUCAUCUAAAACAAUACAGACAGCAAGACUACCCAUCACAGCCUCUGGAAAAGGCACCUGACUAGACAAGCUUUUGCCUGAUGGAUGUGGACUAAUCCCAAAGAACAAAUGUUUCAUUGUGAAUUAUGUUUUGACCAUAUACCAACAGUUGACAGCAUUUAAAGAGCUGCAGAGGUUUUUAAAGAGUUUUUCAAAUGUUCUCAUCACAGAACUCUCCAAGGGCAGACAUACAUUUCAAAAACAACACGCUGAAGAAAACAUACACAUACACACAUACACACACACUGGCCCAAACAUAGUAAAACGUGAUCACAAAAACAAUAACUCUUGGUAAAUUUAACCAGUUAGAUUUAAUUCUUUGUUGACCUUUCUCCACACAAACAUCCUACUAUUGGUCUUAACAUCUAACCAAGCCCCAGUUUAUACAGUAAGAAAUCGGAUAUUCUAAAAUUCUAUCUUCUCAGAAAUCAGUCUUACAUACAUGAAAUAGGAAUUUUAUCUACUUAGUAAAUGUAUUUUUCUCAACCAAACUUUCUGCCCUAAAAGCACCAAUACCUAUAGAGAACAUAAUAUAGACUCUAAAUCUAGUGUUAUCAUUGGCUCCGCUACCUACCACUUUAGAUAUAUCUUGUAACUGUUUUUGUGAUUGUUUUUGUGAUUUGCCAACAUGGGGUAUAAAAUAAUGCUGAAUCUUU